Molecule: unclassified non-coding RNA, 162 nt
Filed under: uncultured Penicillium
Lineage: Eukaryota; Fungi; Ascomycota; Eurotiomycetes; Eurotiales; Aspergillaceae
Description: sequence contains ITS2
Source: RNAcentral
CUGCCCUCAAGCACGGCUUGUGUGUUGGGCUCCGUCCUCCUCCCGGGGGACGGGCCCGAAAGGCAGCGGCGGCACCGCGUCCGGUCCUCGAGCGUAUGGGGCUUUGUCACUCGCUCUGUAGGCCCGGCCGGCGCUUGCCGACACAUCAAUCUUUUUUCCAGG